GUGGGGAAUAUUGGACAAUGGGCGCAAGCCUGAUCCAGCCAUGCCGCGUGAGUGAUGAAGGCCCUAGGGUUGUAAAGCUCUUUCACCGGUGAAGAUAAUGACGGUAACCGGAGAAGAAGCCCCGGCUAACUUCGUGCCAGCAGCCGCGGUAAUACGAAGGGGGCUAGCGUUGUUCGGAAUUACUGGGCGUAAAGCGCACGUAGGCGGGUAUUUAAGUCAGGGGUGAAAUCCCGGAGCUCAACUCCGGAACUGCCUUUGAUAAUGGGUACGUAGAGUAUGGAAAAGGUAAGUGGAAUUCCGAGGGUAGAGGUGAAAUUCGUAGAUAUUCGGAGGAACACCAGUGGCGAAGGCGGCUUACUGGUCCAUUACUGACGCUGAGGUGCGAAAGCGUGGGGAGCAAACAGGAUUAGAAACCCUAGUAGUCC
RNAcentral lists this ribosomal RNA (425 nucleotides) under uncultured bacterium. RNAcentral describes it as "partial 16S ribosomal RNA". It matches the Rfam family "Bacterial small subunit ribosomal RNA", at positions 354 to 796 of the family's 1533-position model. The record is from RNAcentral.